GACGAACGCUGGCGGCGUGCCUAAUACAUGCAAGUUGAGCGCUGAAGGUUGGUACUUGUACCAAGGGGAUGAGCAGCGCACGGGUGAGUAACGCGUGGGGAAUCUGCCGUUGAGCGGGGUACAAGAUGUGGAAAAGAAUGCUAAUAGCGCAUAAAAACUUUAAACACAAUCUUUAAGUUUGAAAGAUGCAAUUACAUCACUCACAGAUGAUCUCGCGUUGUAUUAGCUAGUUGGUGAGGUAAAGGCUCACCAAGGCGAUGAGACAUAGCCGACCUGAGAGGGUGAUCGGCCAGAGUGGGACUGCGACACGGCUCAAACUCCGACAGGAGGCAGCAGCAGGGAAUCGUCGGCAAUGGACGACAGUCUGAACGAGCAAAGCCGCGGGAGUGAAGAAGGGUUUCGGAUCGUGACACUCUGUUGGUAGAGAAGAACGUUGGUGAGAGAGGAAAGCUCAUCGAGUGACGGUAACUACCCAGAAAGGGACGGCUAACUACGUG
RNAcentral lists this ribosomal RNA (497 nucleotides) under uncultured bacterium. RNAcentral's name for it is "partial 16S ribosomal RNA". It matches the Rfam family "Bacterial small subunit ribosomal RNA", at positions 28 to 507 of the family's 1533-position model. The record is from RNAcentral.